Molecule: long non-coding RNA, 1014 nt
Organism: Scylla paramamosain (green mud crab)
Lineage: Eukaryota; Metazoa; Arthropoda; Malacostraca; Decapoda; Portunidae
Exons: 6
Source: RefSeq, a predicted model, not a curated record
GGAAAUUAACCAACCCUCAAAGCACUUGCCGGCCGCGCCCAGCACACCCGCCAACUAUCGCAGGGAGCGUCAAGACUUGGGUUUCACGGCAGGCUGUAAGGUCCCGCCUCGCCCGCCACCCCAGCUGCUCCUCCGCCAGGCUGCAGGAUGCCACCACGCUGGCCACGUCCCCUGCACGACGCCCCACCACGCGGUACGGCACAGGCUUCCCACUCGCCCUGCAGUACCAUUUUUGUUGUAGCAGCGGUGAAGAGCAGCGAGGUGACAGUCCAGGUGGGACAGCCCGGGGCACCUCACCUGCAGAACGCCUCAAUCAUCUCCAGCACAGACACGCCGCGGCCCGUGCCCAGAUUGUACGACGCGUAGCCCCUGAACGACUUGCUGAAGGCCUUGUCGAGCGCCAUUACGUGACCCUCCGCCAAGUCCACCACGUGCACAUAAUCACGCACGCCUGCCAACCCCAGUACGCACCUGUCCCGUCUGGCGUGUCGUAGUCGUUACCGAACACACUGAGCUCCUCCCGCUUCCCGACCGCCACCUGGGCCACGAAGGGCAUGAGGUUGUUGGGGGGGCCAAGAGGGUCCUCCCCGAUGCGGCCCGACGGAUGCGCGCCCACCGGAUUGAAGUACCGAAGGGAAACCAGCCGCCACUCCUGCAACACCGCGACACAUGGGUUGGUGAGGCCGGCGCCGGUGGGAUGCUGCUCGUCUGCCGGCAGGUACUGGGGGGCCCCGUACACAGUAGCCGAGGAGGAAUACACCAGCCGAUGCACACCUGCUUCCCGCAUCACCUGACGGAGACUCCCCGACGGCCUUGAGUGCGGCGAAGUGAACCACGGCGUCCACCCGGUGCUGUGGGGUGCCGUGAACAGUGACCGGAGGAACAAAGGCGGUGCGCAGCGGGGAUAGAAGAGAACAACACAUUGGCGAAGAGAAAAUAUAGGAAUAAGAGGGUGAAGGAACAUAUCUUGCGUACAAUGGUGGAUAAAUUAGAUGCGGAAAGAAAUAAAAUAGA